GAUGAACGCUGGCGGCGUGCCUAAUACAUGCAAGUCGAGCGAACAGACGAGGAGCUUGCUCCUCUGACGUUAGCGGCGGACGGGUGAGUAACACGUGGAUAACCUACCUAUAAGACUGGGAUAACUUCGGGAAACCGGAGCUAAUACCGGAUAAUAUAUUGAACCGCAUGGUUCAAUAGUGAAAGACGGUUUUGCUGUCACUUAUAGAUGGAUCCGGGGCGCAUUAGCUAGUUGGUAAGGUAACGGCUUACCAAGGCAACGAUGCGUAGCCGACCUGAGAGGGUGAUCGGCCACACUGGAACUGAGACACGGUCCAGACUCCUACGGGAGGCAGCAGUAGGGAAUCUUCCGCAAUGGGCGAAAGCCUGACGGAGCAACGCCGCGUGAGUGAUGAAGGUCUUCGGAUCGUAAAACUCUGUUAUUAGGGAAGAACAAAUGUGUAAGUAACUAUGCACGUCUUGACGGUACCUAAUCAGAAAGCCACGGCUAACUACGUG
RNAcentral lists this ribosomal RNA (497 nucleotides) under uncultured bacterium. RNAcentral's name for it is "partial 16S ribosomal RNA". It matches the Rfam family "Bacterial small subunit ribosomal RNA", at positions 28 to 507 of the family's 1533-position model. The record is from RNAcentral.